This 214-nucleotide long non-coding RNA is filed under the name Capsicum annuum. Its description in RNAcentral is "long non-coding RNA (CANN_LNC013778)". Lineage: Eukaryota; Viridiplantae; Streptophyta; Magnoliopsida; Solanales; Solanaceae. The record is from RNAcentral.
UUAUACCCGCCAGACCAGAGGUAGAGGCUUUUGAAUUUAUGAUCAUGGUAUCAUCCUCAUUUAUUUUAGGUUUGCGUCAGUGUUAUUUGAUUUAGGAUUGACUUUGUCCUAUGUGUGUGCAUAUUUUUCUUCCAGUUUUAAUUUUGUUAGUGAUUCUCUUGUCAUGCAUAUUUGUGUAUCUACCCUUGUAGGCGAUUCUUUAGUGGUAUAUCGG